Molecule: ribosomal RNA, 468 nt
Filed under: uncultured bacterium
Lineage: Bacteria
Description: partial 16S ribosomal RNA
Rfam family: Bacterial small subunit ribosomal RNA
Source: RNAcentral
GACGAACGCUGGCGGCGUGCUUAACACAUGCAAGUCGAACGGAAAGGCCCUGCUUUUGUGGGGUGCUCGAGUGGCGAACGGGUGAGUAACACGUGAGUAACCUGCCCUUGACUUUGGGAUAACUUCAGGAAACUGGGGCUAAUACCGGAUAGGAUCUCCUGCUGCAUGGUGGGGGUUGGAAAGUUUCGGCGGUUGGGGAUGGACUCGCGGCUUAUCAGCUUGUUGGUGGGGUAGUGGCUUACCAAGGCUUUGACGGGUAGCCGGCCUGAGAGGGUGGCCGGCCACAUUGGGACUGAGAGACGGCCCAGACUCCUACGGGAGGCAGCAGUGGGGAAUAUUGCACAAUGGGCGGAAGCCUGAUGCAGCAACGCCGCGUGCGGGAUGACGGCCUUCGGGUUGUAAACCGCUUUCGCCUGUGACGAAGCGUGAGUGACGGUAAUGGGUAAAGAAGCACCGGCUAACUACGUG